GCAGAUCCCGGCGAAGGAUGUCUAGCCUGCUGGCAGUCCCAUUAACUGGAGCUGUUUUCCGGAAUACAGCAACUGUAAACGUAACUUCUACAAAGAUGGAGGUUGCUUCUGGCUCAUCAGCCAUCGUUGAUGUGCCACAGACCUGAGGGCACAUGACCCAGGAAUGUGCAUCCAAAGAUAAUACUACCUUCAGAGAACUCUACUUAUAGG
This is a long non-coding RNA of Pan troglodytes (chimpanzee), 210 nucleotides long. RefSeq lists it as uncharacterized. Lineage: Eukaryota; Metazoa; Chordata; Mammalia; Primates; Hominidae. The transcript is spliced from 3 exons. The record is from RefSeq and is a predicted model, not a curated record.